RNAcentral lists this ribosomal RNA (330 nucleotides) under uncultured eukaryote. Its description in RNAcentral is "partial 18S ribosomal RNA". It matches the Rfam family "Eukaryotic small subunit ribosomal RNA", at positions 1470 to 1796 of the family's 1831-position model. The record is from RNAcentral.
CCCUUAGAUGUUCUGGGCCGCACGCGCGCUACACUGACGAAGUCAGCGAGCAUCUCCUACGCCGAAAGGUGCGGGGAAUCUUGUGAAACUUUGUCGUGCUGGGGAUUGAUUUUUGAAAUUCUUGAUCAUCAACGAGGAAUUCCUAGUAAGCGCAAGUCAGCAGCUUGCGUUGAUUACGUCCCUGCCCUUUGUACACACCGCCCGUCGCUACUACCGAUUGAAUGGUUUAGUGAAAUUUUUGGACUGGAACUCUCUUGUUCAGCAAUGAACGAGAGGGACUCUGGGAAGCUAUUCUAACUGUAUCAUUUAGAGGAAGUAAAAGUCGUAACA